UAGGGAAUCUUCGGCAAUGGACGAAAGUCUGACCGAGCAACGCCGCGUGAGUGAAGAAGGUUUUCGGAUCGUAAAACUCUGUUGUUAGAGAAGAACAAGGACGUUAGUAACUGAACGUCCCCUGACGGUAUCUAACCAGAAAGCCACGGCUAACUACGUGCCAGCAGCCGCGGUAAUACGUAGGUGGCAAGCGUUGUCCGGAUUUAUUGGGCGUAAAGCGAGCGCAGGCGGUUUCUUAAGUCUGAUGUGAAAGCCCCCGGCUCAACCGGGGAGGGUCAUUGGAAACUGGGAGACUUGAGUGCAGAAGAGGAGAGUGGAAUUCCAUGUGUAGCGGUGAAAUGCGUAGAUAUAUGAUGGAACACCAGUGGCGAAGGCGGCUCUCUGGUCUGUAACUGACGCUGAGGCUCGAAAGCGUGGGGAGCAAACAGG
This 429-nucleotide ribosomal RNA is filed under the name Gemmatimonadota bacterium. RNAcentral describes it as "Gemmatimonadetes bacterium partial 16S ribosomal RNA". It matches the Rfam family "Bacterial small subunit ribosomal RNA", at positions 355 to 776 of the family's 1533-position model. Lineage: Bacteria; Pseudomonadati; Gemmatimonadota. The record is from RNAcentral.